CCUACGGGCGGCAGCAGUGGGGAAUAUUGCACAAUGGGGGAAACCCUGAUGCAGCGACGCCGCGUGAGUGAAGAAGUAUUUCGGUAUGUAAAGCUCUAUCAGCAGGGAAGAAAAUGACGGUACCUGACUAAGAAGCCCCGGCUAACUACGUGCCAGCAGCCGCGGUAAUACGUAGGGGGCAAGCGUUAUCCGGAUUUACUGGGUGUAAAGGGAGCGUAGACGGCAGCGCAAGUCUGGAGUGAAAUGCCAGGGCUUAACCCCGGAACUGCUUUGGAAACUGUGCAGCUGGAGUGCAGGAGAGGUAAGUGGAAUUCCUAGUGUAGCGGUGAAAUGCGUAGAUAUUAGGAGGAACACCAGUGGCGAAGGCGGCUUACUGGACUGUAACUGACGUUGAGGCUCGAAAGCGUGGGGAGCAAACAGGAUUAGAUACCCUAGUAGUC
Molecule: ribosomal RNA, 440 nt
Filed under: uncultured bacterium
Lineage: Bacteria
Description: partial 16S ribosomal RNA
Rfam family: Bacterial small subunit ribosomal RNA
Source: RNAcentral